Molecule: ribosomal RNA, 306 nt
Filed under: uncultured bacterium
Lineage: Bacteria
Description: bacterial SSU rRNA
Rfam family: Bacterial small subunit ribosomal RNA
Source: RNAcentral
GAUAAACGCUGGCGGCGUGCCUAACACAUGCAAGUCGAACGCCCUUUUGCGCAAGUGAGAGGGAGUGGCGGACGGGUGAGUACCACGUGGGUACCUACCUUGAGGUGAGGAAUACCACCGAGAAAUCGGUGACAAGACCGCAUACGCUUGGCAACAAGCAAAGUCUCGCAAGAGACGCCACAAGAUGGGCCUGCGCCUGAUUAGCUAGUUGGUGAGGUAAUGGCNCACCAAGGCGACGAUCAGUAGCUGGUCUGAGAGGAUGAUCAGCCACACUGGGAUUGAGAACGGCCCAGACUCCGUACGGGG